CAGUCGCCACGGGAAUACGUAGGUGGCGAGCGUUGUCCGGAAUUAUUGGGCGUAAAGGGAGCGCAGGCGGACAUAUAAGUCCAUCUUAAAAGUGCGGGCUCAACCCCGUGAGGGGAUGGAAACUGUAUGCCUUGAGUGCAGGAGAGGAAAGCGGAAUUCCCAGUGUAGCGGUGAAAUGCGUAGAUAUUGGGAGGAACACCAGUGGCGAAGGCGGCUUUCUGGACUGUAACUGACGCUGAGGCUCGAAAGCCAGGGGAGCGAACGGGAUUAGAUACCCCCGUAGUCCCUGUCUCUUAUACAC
RNAcentral lists this ribosomal RNA (301 nucleotides) under uncultured bacterium. RNAcentral describes it as "partial 16S ribosomal RNA". It matches the Rfam family "Bacterial small subunit ribosomal RNA", at positions 509 to 810 of the family's 1533-position model. The record is from RNAcentral.